GAGAAACAAGAAGAAAAUAAAGAGAAUACAUUUUAAUUGUGUCACCUUGGAUCAGUUAUAUAUUACCAAUGCUUUUAUUUUUUUAAUAAGAGGAGAAUAACUCAGUGCAGGGAAGGAGUCUUAAGGAAAGUUUCUAGACCUUUUGGGCAUACACAAAUAAUGUAAGGAUGCCUCAGGUUUUAAGAGGUGACUUCAUCAUUUGCAGCAGGAUAGCCUACGCCCAAGAACACGAGUAUCUACAGCAUGUCUCAUUUUCCCUCAGGAACAUUUCACAUUUCUCUCUAGCCCUAUAAAGUGAAAACUGACAAGGAUCUCUUGGACAUUUGGGGAAAGGAGAAAUACAGAACUGUGUCUGUAGUAAGUACUACCUUCUUUAGCCAUCCCAUGAUUUGUUGCUCAGAUUCAUGAACAAGCCCUAUCGGUUCAGAAAAAGGGGGUUCAACAUGAGCUGCUCUAUUUGUCAGAAGCCAGAUUUGCUAAGCCCAGAAUUGGAACUUGCAAUGAAGGGGACUGUCAUGCUGCAUAGCUAUCAACAAGCUCAUUUUUGUACUGGAAGUUCAUCCAACUUCCUUCAAAAUUCCGUGAAUGAAGCAAGAUGAUAAACCUUCCGUUCGUAUAGUCCCAUGGCAAAUGCUAAUUUUCAAAUGUCCAAAAAUGUAACCGUUCUAUAAAUGCUAUUUUCAUUUUCAAUUUUUUUUUGUAAGUCAAAUACUAGGUUCAUAAAUAUUAAGAAAGCACAGGCUUGGUGAGGAUUAUUGUUGUGAUAAUGUGGAUACUUGUAAACCAUUCAUCAUAGACUGCUACUGAAAAGGCUAUUGCUUGUACAUAACAUCUACUUCUUAAAUCUCAGGCAAAGGGUUUGCAUAAAAUGUAAAUGCUGUACUUUUUAAGCCGAAAAAGUCUUAUUGCUGCACAAACUUUUUUCUCUUUUAAGUUAAGGACAGUUAAAGCAAUAUUUCUGAACUAAUAACCAUUUAUAGUUAUGCAGAUGCUCUGUAGGUAAUGAGAUUAAAACCUAAAAUGGAUCAUCUGAAGCUCCAGGAAGCCUUCAGAUCUCUCUUCUGCAUUUUCUUGGACAUGUAAAGCAUAUUUCAGAUUUAAUUUACCGAUUUCCCCUCUAUGUUUGCUGUUAAUUUGCUGCUGAAUUACCUCAAUGAUCUGAAAACCUUCAGGACUGCAAAAACUAUAGUUAGGGGAUCAUCCAUAGUUUGUAGUUUAAACCCCAUCUACCAUCACUCCAAAAUGUUUAUUUUUGUUAAUAUAAUAACAAUUAUUAUGUAAAUCAAUGGCUUUAUGUUUUACCUGAGAAAUCCUAAAAUUGCCUGGAAUAGUUCUUUGCUGUAGAACUGUUUAAUCUGAUGGAUUAUUAUCUAAUUCUUAUCUCUUUUACGAGGAUAUCCUUGCAAAAUGCAGGUCAAAGCUGAGAGUUGACUUUCAAACCGAGAGUUUUGAAGGUUACCAUCUGGAAAGCAAAUUCAUCCAUUCUUCCUUCAAAAUUCCGUGAAUGAAGCAAGAUGAUAAAACUUUCAUUCAUACAGUCCCAUGGCAGACGCCAAUUUUCAAACCUCCUGGUAGCUUCCUGAUUUUGACUCGCCUUUUAUCAUUUGUUGAAGAAGAACUGUACCCACAACAUCUAAUAGGUUUGCAGGCAGAAAAUGUCUGACUGUGACAGGAUCAGAAAUAUGAAUAAGGAGACUAAUUCCUUGUGCGUCCAAUAAUACUUGGCCAAUAUAGAAUUCUAUUCUAUGAAAUAUAGAAGAAUAUACUGCAGAGACUGCAGAUAGGCUAAUGAGAACUAGAAGCUGAGAAGAAAUGGAAAACAAUCAAGGGGUCAAAGCAGCUUUCCUUGUUGUCCCCUCACCCCACCUUCUCUCUCUGCAGAAGUAAAGAAAAAAGGAUUCGGUUUAUUGAUUUAAUUUCCCAUAGAGACAAUUCCCGUAGACACUUAUGGAGAUGGUCUUGAGUGGAAUAUUCAGCAGCCAUCUCUCACACCCAGGAAAAAGGACAGAAGCAAUUCUUAAAGUAUGGCAAAAAAGGUAAUAUUUGGAAGAUAUUCAGGUUGGCUCCUCCUUGACUCACUAAGUGGGAGGAGAGGAAAAACACAAUCAGAUUUGCAAAAUUCUGUUAUUGUAGUUUAUCCCUAUAAAGCUGACUUCUAAUUUUCUUGUGGAAUCUGUUUCCUGAUCUAGUCAAUCCCAAAAGGCUAGAAUUUUCUCCAGUGUGAUUUAUUUCUUAAUAUAAAUGAAAAUAAUAAUAAUAAUAAUCCAAGAUCAGUUCUAUGCCAGGCACAUUUAGGAAAUGUGUCACAAAAGAGAAUUGGGUAUAGGCUUAAAAAACAACAACAUUGAAUAUUUAUAUGUCAAAAUACAAAACUGGACUGUAUAGUUUUUAAGAAAACUUACUACUGCUUUUGAAAAUAAUAGAAAUUUUAAAACUAUACAGCAGUCAGCUACUUCGUAGUCCAAAGGAUCUUUUUGAUUUACCAGUUCUUUCCAUACAUUGUUGCUGCAUUUUUCACAAGGUGCUGCUGGUUCCCCAAACCAGAUAACCAUUAGCAGAAAUAGGUCUUUCUGCCAGAAAAUAUUGGGCGAGCCAGAUUGCUGAUGUUUGGGAGAUUAUAACUGAUCUACUUUUAGUGUCCUACUUCUUUAGUAAAUAAAAUUUACUAAAUGUGGUUAUUUUCACAAAUAAUAUCUGCAGCAAUAUCCAGGUCUUUCUACUAGUUGGAUCGGGUCAUUGCUAAAGUUACUCAAAAUCACAAUCCAGAUGAAAUAGGUUAACUGAAGGCUUCGUGAACCUACCGUGUUUCCCUGAAAAUAAGACCCUGUCUUAUAUUUUUUGAACCCCGAAAUAAGUGCUUGGUCUUAUUUUGGGGGGAGGUCUUAUUAUUUUGGGGCGUGUGGAGCAAGACGGGGCUCCUCUUGCCGUCUUACCUGAUUUCCACCUCUGUCUCCCUAACCCUAACCUGAGGAAAUGGUGGGGACCAGCUGCGCAUGCACUUAAAUAUUUUUGGGGAGGGCUUAUUUUAGCGCAUGCACUCAAAAGCCCGUUUGGGCUUAUUAUCCAGGGAGGUCUUAUUUUCGGGGAAACAGGGUAUUGGGCAAUGCAUAGGAUUUCACUAUGGCUAGAAGGCACCCAGAUGAAAAAGCUGACCUAUUAAAAACUGGUCUGGUCUGAAAAGCUUUUCUGGGUUAACAGAUUGAACACCAUUUAAACUUAAUUUGAAGAGUAACAUUCCCUACCCAUAUACCCUGCAGAGGACAAUAACUAAAAUUUGACAAUAAUGCCUGUUGCCCCCAGUCUGGUUUGACUGGGAAUUAAUAGUAAUUGUAAUUCAAGAUGUCCAAAAGCCCCAGGCUGGGGAAAGAAACACAUGGCACUUUUAUUGAGGGCACUAACUCCCCGCAAGUGUUUGUCCAUCCUUCUUGGCUAACCUUCUAUCGUGCUGCAGAAGAUGAAAUGAAGAAAAAAAAAAGGAGCAGAAACUUACCAGCCUCUCUUAUCCCAAAGAAGCACCAUGCUGGACAGGAAAGCAAAGCUGCUGGUAAAGGAGUGAGAGGAGGAAGAGGAGGAGGAGGAAAGUGGAGAGGAGGCAAAUGACAAGAAGAGGUGAAGGUAUUCACCAUCCCAAGGCAACAUGUAAACACACAGGGUUUCAGCAAGCAAAAAUUAUGGGGAAAUUAGCAGAAGAGCAUGCACUGAAGAGCAGGGUUGGCAGGUGCCAAGGGAUAACUGUUCCAAGAGAUCCCCACCCUUAUGAAGGCUGGUGUUUGGGAAAAGGGAAACUGGAAAAAUGUUUGGAUGCCUUGAUUAAUCUUCUGCUCCUUUGGCUUAUAUAUACAGGAGCUAUUACAAAUUGUCUAGUCCAAAUUUAAGUAUAGCUUAUAGACUGAUUUGUUGUUAUAAGAAGACAAUCUGUCUUGGUUUGGGUUUUAUGUUUUGUUUUUUGUUUUAAAGAAAAUAAAAAAGCAGGCCUCAAAUGGAAAACUCUGCCCCCUCUUGCUGUACCUUCUUGGAUUUCAGCAAGGGAUUUUGGCCCAAUAGCUUUUUAAUGUCAGAUGUUGUUCUUUUCGUUUAGGUGAAUUGAAUUUCAGAUUGUGGUAUCCAAUUUGCUGCAAGCUUUUCUCAUCGCUGAAGUUUAGAUGAAAGGCAAGGACAAGUAGAAGAGCACCUCUAUUUACUUUAUCGUCACUCCAUUCCUCAUCUGAUAAAUGAAUGCCUACUGGAGUAAAGGCAAGCUUGGAGAGCAGCAAAAAGAAAGAGCAAUAUCCUCACUUUUUCUGAAAGACCUGUAACGCAAGCGAAGAGCUUUUUCUAUCAAGAACUGGGUAACAGGAGGCACAUAUGCGUUGACAACUUGACAUUCCUAGUUAAACAGGAGGAACAUUGGUAUAGGCAACUUCUCAUGCUGCAGUACUGAAGGGUUGACAAAAGCAUUGCCUGAAAUUCUACACAGCUGUUCAGCAGAAAGGAAAACUCAUCCAUUGGAUUUGAUCCUUCCUAGUAGAGGUAUGCACAACUCAUUCCCCAGAUUUACAAGUAAUCUAUCCCCAAAUAAUACUAAGACCCCAAUUCCUCCCCAGUUUUGACAAAUACUGUAAUUUUUAAUUUAAUAUAUAUAUAAUUUAAUUAUAUAUAUUAUCAUACUAUGGUUCUGUUUAAUUAACUGUAUUUAAUUUCAAUUAACUUUCAAUUAAACCAAAUUCAGUUUUGCAUUUCAUGGACCCAAUUUUUUUUACCAUGCCCCUUUCCCUCCACAUUGUGUUACUCAAAAAAUGUGCAGCUUUCUGAUCAAAAGAAAGGAUCCACACAAUGGGAUCAAAUUAUUUGUACUGAAAGCAACCAGAUGAACUUGAAUUUAGUGGCUCAUCUAAGCCUCCACCAAAUGGUCUGAUAAAAACUUAGCUCCUUAAAUGUUCUAUGGGAAUUUUGUUUGCAACGGUCACAUUAGGUUUGAUUACCUAUUAUAAUUAUGAGUUUAUAUGUUCUUUCAACUUUUCCCCCUUAUCAGAAUAUUCUAUUCAAAAACAUUCAAUUUUUGUAGAUUUAGUAGCAUUUUCAGCUGAACUCUGAUAGAUGAAAGAGCAAUAUUUUUACUUUUGUGUAUCCUAAUAGUUUAGAAAUUUUACUGCUGAAUAAAUACUAAUAAUGCAACAAUGGAACUAUUGUGAAGAAUGUAUUUUUAAAGUAAAAGUCGGGUUUUAUGGGGCUGAUUAAAUUUGCAACAACAUGAACCUCAUCUAGUCAGAUCAUUAAUGGCUCAGCCUUUGGAACUCUAUUUAGAAACACAUUUUUCUUAAGCUCACAGUAAACAUAAUGGAGCAAAAUUUGUAAGCAAAUUUUAACAAAACAUUUGUAACAAUAUAAGCCAGAAUUGCAAGAUCUUUAGCAAAAGGGAAUACAGCAUUGAUCUAUUUUUCUAAACCAGGAAAACAAUGUUCUAAGCACACUCUAUCAGUAUAUACUUAUUCCCAGCUGCAUCUGUGCUGCAAUGGUUCUUCCAUACUAUUCCUAAACAAUUUCUGAGAUAGCAAGUAAUUUAUUGAAUUUAUUUCUGAAUAGCCAAAUGUCUGGGAGUCAGGAAACCAUUACAAUUUUCUUAAUGCUAAACUGAAAUAUUUGACCUUGGAUAUUUUUUGGCAUUUAUGGCAAAUAAAAACAGUUUUUGUAAAAUGUUAGAAUUGGAAGAAAUUUUUUAUGGGGGAUAUGAAGACUUGUUCUGUCAUCACUUUAAAGUGCUUGGUAAUCAUAAUAAGGACCAAGGUAUGGAAGAUUUAUGUGGAGUCUUGUUUAAACUGAGCCUACUUGGUGGUUUUGGCACCAGAACAUCCACUGUAAAUCUUGCUACUUUGACAAAUGUUCUGUGAAAUGAGAAGCAGCCAACAGAUCCAUUUCCAAGGAAGUGGGCAAGACUGAGUCAUCACCCAAGAAUUUAAUCUUUGAUCCUAAGACGACUAUACUGGUUCAACUGGGAAAGCUAAAUAUAUCCAAGACCAGCUAUACUUGAUGGGACACGGCAGCUUAGAGGAAAUGAGAGGGGUCAGAAUCUUGAGUUAUUCAGUUGAA
Molecule: long non-coding RNA, 6066 nt
Organism: Ahaetulla prasina
Lineage: Eukaryota; Metazoa; Chordata; Lepidosauria; Squamata; Colubridae
Exons: 3
Source: RefSeq, a predicted model, not a curated record